CUACAAGUAUGAAGCGACUGGAACAUUGAGAAAAUACUUGCAUAAUCUGAUCAUUUAAACGAUUCUGAAACCUCAAACAUCCUUCUUUCCUGAGGUAUAUGCCGCUGGUGAAUUGCUGCGCUAUCGUAAUUGAGCAGCAGCUAUAAUUAAAUAUCAUAAAUCUAAAGCAACUGGAAGAGAUAAAGCUCGCAUCAGCAGAACUUCUAAGUGAUACUGCCACAUCGGACUUCCUUCAAUGCUGAGGUACUUGUCAAUUACUACUGAAGUCAGCAAAUAUCACAAAUCUAAAGCCACUGGAAUUCACAUCAGCUGAACAGUUAAGAGUUCCUGUCAUCGGACUUCCUUCCAUGCUCAAAUACACAAUAGAGCAACUACAAUUUGUAAUUAAACAUUUAAAACAGCUGAAAUAUAUUAGAGAAUACUCGCAUCAGCUGAUCAGUUGAAGAGUUGCUGCCACAUCAUCAUCGGGCUUCCCUAGUUCUAGAGGCACAUGCCAAUAGAGCCACUGGCUAUAGGCUAUAUUGUGAUGGCAGCAGGUCGACUUAUGUACCUACGCUGGAUCAGACACGACACAAAUCCUUGAACAAAGGACAACCUGGCAAAAAAAAGAGAGAGAAGAGACGAACAUGCUUUUGCCUUUGGACAGGUGAUGAACAUCUUUGUGUUCGUCGAAUGCCACACAGAACUGAAGUCAGCAAUAGAACCUGUGCCUAGGCAAACGUUGGAUAAGAUGCCUAUCGCUAUUUCAAUUCCUAUUAUUCGCAAAAAAAAAAAGAAGAAAUACAAAGCCAAAAAACAAUAGAGAUGUGCACACAAAAGCGGGUAGCUAAAGCAGCUGACAAAUCUGAAGAGAUGAAGAUGCUAUUAGAAUGCCAGCACGCCAGCCAGCCAGCUGCUGACUCAGGACUUAGGCAGGCUGAGGAUUUUGGCAAGGUGCUUGCGUCAUAAACUGGACUAGAUCGAGAGGCAAGCUGCGCUCCACUUGGAUAGAUUGAUAUCACACACAGUUAGAUGGCAACUUUUACACACACGAAGCAACUAAAUGUUGUAUUUCUUUCUAAUCUUACGAUUCCUGCACGAUUUAUUACAACUAUUGACGUUUGAUGUUUCUUAGUUA
Long non-coding RNA from Drosophila sulfurigaster albostrigata, 1117 nucleotides. RefSeq lists it as uncharacterized. The transcript is spliced from 7 exons. The record is from RefSeq and is a predicted model, not a curated record. NCBI's taxonomy places the organism in Eukaryota, Metazoa, Arthropoda, Insecta, Diptera, Drosophilidae.